CGGGGGUGGCCAUAAAGGUCGCGCUAGGGGGCGGAGACUCUCUCUCUCUGCGCGGCGGUGGCUGAGGUUGCUGGAUGGUCUGGUGAGCCCAAGUAGAGGAAUGAAAUGGACCAGAAGAGCAGCUCACUUCCAUUGUUGGCAUCAAAAGGACUGUAAAUCUCUAAUUCAAAUGCAGAGACUGUAAUUUGGAUUUACUUUAAAGCACUUGUGACCUGUUAUGCAUUUUGAAUGAAACAUGAAAAGUAUAUUGUAUGAAUGUAAAUGAAAUGCAAGUCUUAUUAAACAGAGUGAAACAA
This is a long non-coding RNA of Caretta caretta (loggerhead turtle), 296 nucleotides long. RefSeq lists it as uncharacterized. Lineage: Eukaryota; Metazoa; Chordata; Testudines; Cheloniidae. The record is from RefSeq and is a predicted model, not a curated record.